Molecule: ribosomal RNA, 775 nt
Filed under: uncultured Neocallimastigales
Lineage: Eukaryota; Fungi; Neocallimastigomycota; Neocallimastigomycetes; Neocallimastigales
Description: partial large subunit ribosomal RNA
Rfam family: Eukaryotic large subunit ribosomal RNA
Source: RNAcentral
CGCAUCUGUGCAUGCAGCAUAUCAAUAAGCGGAGGAAAAGAAGCUAACAAGGAUUCCCUUAGUAACGGCGAGUGAAGCGGGUAGAGCUCAAAUUUGAAAUCUUCAAGGUUUUACCUUGACGAAUUGUAGUUUAAAGAAGUGUUUUCUGCUGAAGUUUUGGUAAAAGUUCUUUGGAAUAGGACAUCAUAGAGGGUGAGAAUCCCGUAUUUGACCAUUAUUUUCAGCUUUGUGAUACACUUUCAAAGAGUCGGAUUGUUUGGGAAUGCAGUCCAAAAUGGGUGGUAAAUUUCAUCUAAAGCUAAAUAUUGGCGAGAGACCGGUAGCGAACAAGUACCGUGAGGGAAAGAUGAAAAGAACUUUGAAAAGAGAGUUAAACAGUACGUGAAAUUGUCAAAAGGGAAGCGUUUGACACCAGUGUUGUUUUCUCGAAAAUCAAUUAAAAAUGGCUCGAUUUUGUAUUGCUGAGACCUUAAAAGCUCACUGUACAUUUUUCGUGUCUUUUUUAAUGCACUUUUCGUUUAACAAGUCAACAUCAGUUUCUUUUGUUGUAAAAGGGUCAUUGGAAGGUGGCUUUCUUUUCGGAGAAAGUGUUUAUAGCCUUUGGCCUCUGCAAUCGAAGAGACUGAGGUCUGCAGCGUAGACUCUUCGGGGUUAGAUACAUUUGUGCUAAGUUAUAGCUUUUUAUAGACAACUUGUUGAUCUAUAAUUAGUCUUGUAGCUUACUCGCUUAUGCUAUUUUACCUACGCUUAGGAUGUUGACGCAUGAGAUAUACGC